This 120-nucleotide ribosomal RNA is filed under the name Danio rerio (zebrafish). Lineage: Eukaryota; Metazoa; Chordata; Actinopteri; Cypriniformes; Danionidae. The record is from RNAcentral.
UCCGGCAAACAGCUAGCUCUGUUCAGCUCUCGCAUGGUCGCCCGCUGAAGCUAAGCAGGGCUGCGCCUGGGCAGUACCUGGAAGGUAGACCACAUGGGAAAAUGUAGGCUGCUGCCGGAA